This is a long non-coding RNA of Lotus japonicus, 706 nucleotides long. RefSeq lists it as uncharacterized. Lineage: Eukaryota; Viridiplantae; Streptophyta; Magnoliopsida; Fabales; Fabaceae. The record is from RefSeq and is a predicted model, not a curated record. The transcript has 2 exons.
UAUUGAUAAAAAGGAACAACUUGGAAACAGGCUCUUCCAAGUGAGCAAAGAGAAACGAUACAGAAAAACAAAAAGAAAGCAAAACACAAAAAGCAGGAAAAAAGGGAACAACAGCAACAAAACAGGGAGCAUAACUUCUGAAACAACCCAAAACAAAAAAGGGCCAAACCAGAAAACUAGAGAUAACUAACUCACAUAACCUCAACAGGAGCUUGGCAACACGUUCAGAAGGAAAUUAACGCAACAAACCCCACAGAGCUCUUUCACAACAUCAGAUAUAUGAUGUAGCAAAAGCCAGAGAAGACAAAAGCCUUGGGUCGCCACCAUUUAGCAGAUGAAUCAAACGAAAUUUUCCCACAGAGGCUCCACCCUAUCACAGCCCAACUUUGCAAGACACCGGAAACGCCUUGGAGAUGCAGGGCCAUUCGACACCAAAUCAUGUCCUGGUGUGAGCAAGAACAUGGAUUGAGAGCGUUUGCAUUGACUAGUCAACUCCUCGAUCACGUUACCAGGAUUUUGAUGUUCCCCCAUUUUGUCGCCCCAUUUCUUUAAUUUGUUUAUCUUAUUACCAUCAUUUUAAGCUUAUUUUUAUUGAGUUAUACUCUCUAGAGUCCCUUAUUAUAAAUAAUUAUCCAUCUAUUGCGGGUGUAAUUUAUCUUUUCGAUGUGCCAAAAAAAUAAAUACUCUCUAGUCUCUCUUUCUCUUC